GUCCACGCUGUAAACGAUGGGCACUAGGUGUGGGAGGUGUCGACUCCUCCCGUGCCGUAGCUAACGCAUUAAGUGCCCCGCCUGGGGAGUACGGCCGCAAGGCUAAAACUCAAAGGAAUUGACGGGGACCCGCACAAGCAGCGGAGCAUGUGGUUCAAUUCGACGCAACGCGAAGAACCUUACCUGGGCUUGACAUGUUGGUGACAGCCGUGGAAACACGGUCUCCCUUCGGGGCACCUUCACAGGUGGUGCAUGGCUGUCGU
This 263-nucleotide ribosomal RNA is filed under the name uncultured bacterium. RNAcentral's name for it is "partial 16S ribosomal RNA". It matches the Rfam family "Bacterial small subunit ribosomal RNA", at positions 793 to 1055 of the family's 1533-position model. The record is from RNAcentral.